GGUAGUGACAAGAAAUAACAAUACGGGGCUUAAAGUCUUGUAAUUGGAAUGAUGGGAAUUUAAACCUCUUCCAGAGUAUCAAUUGGAGGGCAAGUCUGGUGCCAGCAGCCGCGGUAAUUCCAGCUCCAAUAGCGUAUAUUAAAAUUGUUGCAGUUAAAAAGCUCGUAGUUGAAUUUCUGCUGCAUUGCUUGUGUCCCUCUGGGGUCUGUGCAUGUGGCUUUUUUCGGACGGAGUUUCUUUGUCUGAAUGUUUACUUUGAGAAAAUUAGAGUGCUCAAAGCAGGCUUUCGCCUUGAAUAGUUUAGCAUGGAAUAAUAAAGUAGGACUUUGGUUCUAUUUUGUUGGUUUUAGGUACCAAAGUAAUGGUUAAUAGGAACAGUUGGGGGCAUUCGUAUUUAACUGUCAGAGGUGAAAUUCUUAGAUUUGUUAAAGACGAACUACUGCGAAAGCAUUUGCCAAGGAUGUUUUCAUUAAUCAAGAACGAA
Molecule: ribosomal RNA, 484 nt
Filed under: Theileria annulata
Lineage: Eukaryota; Apicomplexa; Aconoidasida; Piroplasmida; Theileriidae
Description: SSU rRNA
Rfam family: Eukaryotic small subunit ribosomal RNA
Source: RNAcentral